RNAcentral lists this transfer RNA (65 nucleotides) under Parafagocyba longa. RNAcentral's name for it is "tRNA-Pro". The record is from RNAcentral. Lineage: Eukaryota; Metazoa; Arthropoda; Insecta; Hemiptera; Cicadellidae.
CAGCUAAUAGUUUAUUUAAAAUUUAAUCUUUGGGAGAUUAUGAUGUAUAUUACUUACUUUGCUGA